Molecule: ribosomal RNA, 398 nt
Filed under: Columbina cruziana (croaking ground-dove)
Lineage: Eukaryota; Metazoa; Chordata; Aves; Columbiformes; Columbidae
Description: partial 12S ribosomal RNA
Rfam family: Bacterial small subunit ribosomal RNA
Source: RNAcentral
GGCCCUAAAUCUUGAUGCUUACCUUACCAAAGCAUCCGCCCGAGAACUACGAGCACAAACGCUUAAAACUCUAAGGACUUGGCGGUGCCCCAAACCCACCUAGAGGAGCCUGUCCUAUAAUCGACAACCCACGAUACACCCGACCACUUCUUGCCAAAAACAGCCUACAUACCGCCGUCGUCAGCCCACCUUCACUGAAAGAACAAUAGUGAGCCUAAUCGCCCUCACCCCGCCAACAAGACAGGUCAAGGUAUAGCCCAUGAAGUGGAAGAGAUGGGCUACAUUUUCUACACUAGAAAACCCCUAUAAACGGAAGGGGGCAUGAAACUUGCCCCCCAAAGGCGGAUUUAGCAGUAAAGCAGGACAAUAAAGCCCUCUUUAAACAGGCUCUGAGGCAC